GCUGAUUGCGACGAGUUCCUCGACCAUUUCCUUCAUUUCCUCCUUGUUGCUAUGGCGGCGGCUGAUAAGACUGUUAGAUUCAGAGCCUGCCAGAUUUUCUCAGAGAUAAUAUUGCGGUUACCAGAUGAUGCAGAAGUGAGCAAUGACCUAUGGGACGAGGUGAUAGAGGGCAUGAAGGUUAGGGUACGAGACAAGAUCUAUUUGGUGCGUACGAGACAAGAUCUAUUUGGUGCGUACUUUUGCGGUUAGGGCACUUUCACGUUUCGUGAAUGACUCUUCUAAUGUUGACAUUCUUGAUUUGUUCCUUGAGAUGCUUCCUUUGGAGCAAAAUGCGGUGCUAUGAGAUCGACUGGAGAUCAAGGAUUAUAACUGUGAAGGAAUCAUAUGUAGUUUUGGAUAAACCUGCUGGCACUUCAGUAUGUAAUCAGUCUUACACUAUGUACUCAGAAAUAGUUAUUAAUCUCGUAUAGGAUUCUUAUAGAAUUGUUUUUAAAUUUUAGAUAGUAAACAACAACAGUCGUAAGUCCUGUCA
Molecule: long non-coding RNA, 532 nt
Organism: Vicia villosa (hairy vetch)
Lineage: Eukaryota; Viridiplantae; Streptophyta; Magnoliopsida; Fabales; Fabaceae
Exons: 3
Source: RefSeq, a predicted model, not a curated record